GUAGUACUCCCUCCAUCCCAAAAUUCUUGUCUUACAUUUGUUUAGAUACGGGUGUAUCUAACACUAAAAUGUAACUAGAUACAUCCGUAUUUAGACAAAUUUAAGACAAGAAUUUUGGGACGGAGGGAGUACAAA
Non-coding RNA from Triticum aestivum (bread wheat), 135 nucleotides. The record is from Rfam. Lineage: Eukaryota; Viridiplantae; Streptophyta; Magnoliopsida; Poales; Poaceae.